Molecule: ribosomal RNA, 497 nt
Filed under: uncultured bacterium
Lineage: Bacteria
Description: partial 16S ribosomal RNA
Rfam family: Bacterial small subunit ribosomal RNA
Source: RNAcentral
GAUGAACGCUGGCGGCGUGCCUAAUACAUGCAAGUCGAGCGAACAGACGAGGAGCUUGCUCCUCUGACGUUAGCGGCGGACGGGUGAGUAACACGUGGAUAACCUACCUAUAAGACUGGGAUAACUUCGGGAAACCGGAGCUAAUACCGGAUAAUAUAUUGAACCGCAUGGUUCAAUAGUGAAAGACGGUUUUGCUGUCACUUAUAGAUGGAUCCGCGCCGCAUUAGCUAGUUGGUAAGGUAACGGCUUACCAAGGCAACGAUGCGUAGCCGACCUGAGAGGGGGAUCGGCCACACUGGAACUGAGACACGGUCCAGACUCCUACGGGAGGCAGCAGUAGGGAAUCUUCCGCAAAGGGCGAAAGCCUGACGGAGCAACGCCGCGUGAGUGAUGAAGGUCUUCGGAUCGUAAAACUCUGUUAUUAGGGAAGAACAAAUGUGUAAGUAACUAUGCACGUCUUGACGGUACCUAAUCAGAAAGCCACGGCUAACUACGUG